GAUGAACGCUGGCGGCGUGCUUAACACAUGCAAGUCGAACGAAGCUCCUGCGCAGAUCCCUUCGGGGUGAAGCAAGGGAAGACUUAGUGGCGGACGGGUGAGUAACGCGUGGGUAACCUGCCAUAUACAGGGGGAUAACAGUUAGAAAUGACUGCUAAUACCCCAUAAGCGCACAGUAAGGCAUCUUACAGUGUGAAAAGCCUUUACGGUAUAUGAUGGACCCGCGUCUGAUUAGCUAGUUGGUGAGGUAACGGCCCACCAAGGCGACGAUCAGUAGCCGGCCUGAGAGGGUGAACGGCCACAUUGGGACUGAGACACGGCCCAAACUCC
RNAcentral lists this ribosomal RNA (330 nucleotides) under uncultured Lachnospiraceae bacterium. RNAcentral's name for it is "bacterial SSU rRNA". It matches the Rfam family "Bacterial small subunit ribosomal RNA", at positions 28 to 339 of the family's 1533-position model. Lineage: Bacteria; Bacillati; Bacillota; Clostridia; Lachnospirales; Lachnospiraceae. The record is from RNAcentral.